Long non-coding RNA from Bombina bombina (fire-bellied toad), 576 nucleotides. RefSeq lists it as uncharacterized. The transcript is spliced from 4 exons. NCBI's taxonomy places the organism in Eukaryota, Metazoa, Chordata, Amphibia, Anura, Bombinatoridae. The record is from RefSeq and is a predicted model, not a curated record.
CGCACUUCUAUAACAAGGAGAGUUCAGAUGUACUUCACAGCUCUAGCUCCUGAUUUUUGCUUUUGCAACUCAGUCUCUGGGUGACUGGAUAUGCAACCUGCAAGUCUCUCUGGGUCCCCACACUCCCUUUCGUGCAGGGCUGGCGAGUAGCAUUGCCUUUUGGCAGUGACCUGAAUGUAUUUAAGAACAAGUCUGGCCGGCUGAUUAUAUGCUUUUAAGGUGUCUAAAUUUGGAUAUUGGAAGUAGGAAAAUAUUGAAAGAUUUGUAUAAACUCACAUCAGAAGCAGGGGCGGACUGAGAUCAACAGGGGGCCCCCACCUCCCUUCACCGCUCCCUCAUCCUACCACCCUCUAGGGCCAGACCCCACACUACAGGGCCCAGAGCAACCACUAGUGCACCUGUCAGCACUGCAGCUGAUCUAGGUAGAAAAAAGGAAAAUUCCAGUAAUCAGUUAAAUGAACGGAAUUCAGAUUCUACCUUAAGAAAAUCAGAUAAUCACAGGGUCAUAGAGCAUCACCUGACUCACAACCUGCAUCCUAUUUUUUGUGCCCUGGAUGAAUUACAAGGUCACUUUCU